Molecule: long non-coding RNA, 6026 nt
Filed under: Hordeum vulgare
Lineage: Eukaryota; Viridiplantae; Streptophyta; Magnoliopsida; Poales; Poaceae
Description: long non-coding RNA (HVUL_LNC007928)
Source: RNAcentral
UUUCACCCCACCGGAACUGUUAGAGGUCAAGAGACCACGGGAGAGAGCUGGUGCUUCAGCCGAUAUUGCUGAACAUCAGCAACAAGAUUCUGGCAUGCAUUUGCCGCUGCCCAGGAGUCUUCUGCACCGCGUUGAUCCAGUUGGGCUGUCCACAUCGAAGCCCGCGUGGAUAUGUUGAUAGCGCGUUGUUCCUUUUGUCUUCACCCUCAAGAAAGGAAGACACGGUCAGAUUUACUUCAUGCAGAAGUCUCCCGAUUGAGCCUUGUAUAUACCCUCUGAAACUGUCGUACGCAGAUCGAAGGAGCCAACCGACCGAAAGAAAUGAGCAGCUGGUUGAUGAAGAUGAGGAGGUCGAUGCAGAUGCCCGUGGAAGCGGAGGGGAAGGCGGAGCUGUUUUGCGUCGUCUUCAGCGUCCCGUGCCCGGGAGAUCCACCCGUGCAGGGAGAUUAUGUGGAAGAACGUGUGCACCAAAGCAUCAAGAUCUCUGGUUACGGUCAGUUUCUCUUGUCACCGUGCCUUCACUUUCUUUUUUGCGAGGGAUUUUUGUUCACUUAUUUUCUCCUCUAAAUAUCGUUUUUUUUUCAGUUCUUGACGCUAAAUAGUUCUACUUACAUAGUACUUCUGCAGAGGAAUGGUACGUAGGUAUGGAUACAUGGCUGGCUAUCUAGAAACUCUUUUGCUGUUGGUGUAAUUUCCUAACAUCACUCUCACCUUAAGCCCGUGCACCCAAACCACGUCUCCAGAAACUUCAAUCUGUUCUUAACCCCAAACACAAAUUGCAACGGCGAGGUGUUUAGUUUCUUAGUAGUUGACUGGGAGAAGUUCUUCAUGGCCGAGAUCAGUUCGAACUCAUGAUCUCAUCCAAUUUCAAUCCCAUUUCUUCCGGUUAUCGACUUUGGCUGUCGGGAUUUUUCUUCGUGAAGAAGAAAAUAUCACGUAUGUAUGGCGCGGCCGUGCGGUGGUGAUCGCGAGCUUCAGAGCUCAGACUCCACUCCAGCGACUUGGUCCCUGUUCGAAGACGCUUCCGCUCCCUUCCGGAUCUACAGUUAAAAAAUAAGAGAGCUCAGGUUUUUCAGUUUCGCAGAUUCUAGGAGCUGAUGGAUUACCAAACAGGGCCUUAGUCAACGGCAAGCCACUAGAACGGUGAGGCUGUCACGAUGUUGGUGAGGUGAGAUCGUGUGGAGAUCCGUGCGUAUCCAGUUCAACCCUCCUUUUUCAUCCGGGGCAACUCUCCUUGUAUACGGUCACAAAAGUCAAAAUAAACUCUUGUUAAAGACAGCUUUUUUUCUAAAAAGAGGAUUACCUCCGGCCUGUGCAUCAAUACGAUGCAUGCGAUCCCUUUACAGACAGCUUAUGGCAAGAGCUCUUUUUUUAGUGUUUCAUGCCAAGAGUUUUUUUUUGAGUGUUUUAUGCUAAGAGUUUGAUGAUGAUGAUGAUGAUGAUGUGUGUGUGUGUUAGGAAAGAAACACUUUUAUUUUCACACAAAAUAUUAUUACUUUCUUUCUAAAUUACUUGUUUUACAUUUGUCUAGAUACAGAUGUAUCUAACACUAAAACGUGUCUAGAUACAUCUGAAUCUAGAAAAAUCUAAUGCAAGUAAGUCAGGACGAAGGGAAUACUUAGAAUGAUCAUAGGUCUGGCAUACCAACUUUCUAUAACUUAGCAAAAAAGAACUGGCUGAGUUUACAAAAUUAAUGUAAACUCCAUGUACACAAUCUUCCUUUCUCUUCUAGGAGGAAGGCUUCCUUCCUCAAUCUCUGCCGGUGAACCCGCGGAUUUGCCUCUCCUUUGCUCGUCGCUCCGGCGGUCGGUGGCGGAGAGAAGAAUGAGAAUCCUAGUGUCUCAGUUUCGGCUAGUCGAUAUUAUAGGGUUUUCUCACAAGGAUGUUGUUUUUAUCUUUAAGUCGGUCUUUCGUGCUCUAAUCCUCCUUGAGUGCGUCCGUUGGGGCGGAGUAGAUGCACCUCUGACUUAAAUUCUUGCCAGCACCUUCGGGCGAUGAAGUUAGGAUUUCUGAUCCUACACACAACAAUGAGAUUUGGUGCCUGGUUCUUCAGGCCGAUUCAAGGGUUCAACAAUGAUGACUACGCCCCGUGCGCUGUUUUUUAUGGAUACGUGCACAAAGACUUUUGGUUGUCAUUAGCAAGGUCAAGCUGACUCCAAUACGAGAGCAGGGAUAGUGACUUAUUUUGCCGACGAUAGUGGUUGUUAUGUGGUCUAGAGACCUCGACGUAAAUUUUAUUAUAUUUAGGAUGUUUUGUACUUAUGAUGAACCUUUAUAGAUAUCCACUGAAGACUUACCCACAUAAAUUUUACAAAAUAAUACGAUGAGUUGCAACCUGCAUGAAAAAUGAGGAAAUCGGAAUCCUAACCUGUAUCACUAUCAUUUUCUUAUUUUUACCCAUGUCACAAAUAAUCAUAUUAUUUCACAAACACUUGCUUGAGCAAAUUUCAUGUUUCUUUUUUACGAAACAUUAUUUUUACUCGAGGGCAAUGGUAGGCCCACUGGAAAUCACAUUACGCAUGACUGUAUUUUCAUGGAAUAUGCCUUCAUAUAUUAAUGCAUGGUGCAUAUAAUGAGUAAUAUCAGUAUAAACUUACCUUUCUUAUCCUGGCUUGUAUUCGGUUGACCAUGAUCCUUGAUUGCAGUGAUAGAAGGGAUCUAAUGUAAUUAAUUUCUCGUUGAUCGUACCAUGCGGUAGGUGUAGUCCGCUGUAUGAAGUUGAUGAGUAUUUGAAUGAUAUAGAUUGUCCUGUUAAGAAAAUGUAUCAUUAAUCAUGCUCAUCUUUGUUUUUUGCAAGUGGACUCCAAUCCCUUGGCCCUCCUCUUUCUCCUUGACUUGUUCAUAUAGGAUGUGUGAUAGACGCCAACAAAGUCUUGUUAAAUUAAUUUGAUUGUUGGAAGAUAAGCAAUGGCAUUGACACAUUGUACACAAUCCUAGCGGUAACAACUGAAGAGAGAACAUCGAUCAAGCGUACAAUCUCUUUACACUUGUUUGCGACUAAUAGUAUCCUCACUGCACCAUUCCUUAUCACUAAUAUCUGCUUGUGUCCUAUUUCUUAUAUCUUCAUAUGAUUAACAACGCAGAAUCUUAUUGCCACUUAUGAAUCCUCACAUCAUAAACCUACUACUUUCUGAUGCAGAGGCCGGGGGUUAUCCUCCUUUUCGAAAGAAAAAAAACAUCAUAAACCUACUACUUUCAUGCAUUUAAUUUUUCCAAGCUACUACUAUCAUGAGCUCAUCCAAAACCAUUCCAGAAAUAUUGGAUGGGGAAAUGUGGAUACAAAUGUUUAUUUAUAUGACUAGUCUUCCUAUUGCUAGUGAUAUAUCAACACUAUAUCAUGCAUCAGGCUCAUAUUCAUGAACAAAAUCACGAGACUGAGAUAAAUUAAGUCGAUGCUCUUUGGCCAAAGAGCCAAUUUGCGAAAUUAUGCUAUGAUGAUUUUUUCUUGUGAGUUUAGUGUCAUGUUUGAAAAAAUCAGUUACUAUUUAAAAAGCUACCAAUGUACAUCGUACCACACAGUAAAAACAUUUUUCUAGUAGCAAUAAUGAGAUUAUAAAGCCAUCUUCUAUUGAUCGAUUAUUUUAAGACCAUAUUCUGAAACAGAAAGCAUGUUAAAACAAUUUAACUAAUCAAAUUUAACAUGAUCCACCAAAAGUCAAAUGCAGCUAAGAGCCCUGUUCAAGAAUUCAUCCGAUUAACCAGUUAACUUGCCAAUUAAUCCCCACUCAUAUGGUCACCGAGUACCCGAUAAACCGAAAAAUUGCCCGAUUAAUUGAUUAAAUGGCCGAUAACUUGUCGAUUAGCCCAUUAUUCCCCUACUCGCCAACCAACCGAGCAGUUACCAUUUAACAAUUUCCUCAACAAUGGCUAAGAGUAUGAGUUGGUCACUUAAUUCUCAUUAGUGUCCAGAGAGAAAUAUAUUGCAGAAGACAUUAAUUAUUUAUUUUCCCAAUUAUUUUGUAUACAACUAAAUAUCCUUUCAACACUUAUUUUCAUGUUUGCCUCAUAAAGAAUCUGAACAUUGCUCUUACUAUGACUGAUAUGUCAAUGAGUUCUGACUAUUUGUUUGUGUAUAUCCUCACCGAUAUCAAUUGUAUUGUACCUAUGGUUAUGAGCUGUGGGAAUGUCUUACUAAUGCUUCAGGAUCCAUUAUCCUUAUUUUGUCUAUCUUAACUUUUUGUGUUGUCUAAGUUUUGUCUAUCUUUUUUUUUCCUAAACAUCUCUCCAAGCGCCUACGUACCUUACAUAUCCCAAAUUUUCUUAAAUGGGGGAUGAUUGUUGUCACUUGAGAACAAAUAAAAGGUACAAAGCGGAAUUUAUUUGUCAAUCUUAGAUGCCAAGAUAAGUUACUACACAUUAUGAAAGUGAUUCUGUUCUGGCCUUUAGGGGCUUCCAUUCUAAAAAUAAAAGCAAGGCAGCAAGAGUAUAUAUAAGUUUCCUAUGGAGACGAGUCAUCUAGAUUACUUCAGUUACUGAACUGUGCUCUACCAUGAAUCUGACAUGUAGGUAAAGGAUGAUAUUUGAUCGCCAUUAUAAUAUAGAAGAUUCACUUCCAAGAAUAAUGGGCUCACAUUAAUGACUUCUUGUUGUGCAGCUUGUAUUGCCCUAAAGGAUUUUGAUAAACUCAAAAUGAUGUAUGAAGUGGACUGGAAGGAGAAGCACAGGAUCAUUUUUCGGCACAAAAAGGUGAUAACCUGUUUCCUCUGAAUUGUAGAUAAACUGUGAGUGGAGUACAUGAAUUCCUUUGAUUAUUUUAUUGAGUGAAUUUUAUUUUUUACCCCAUAAUUGUACAUUUGUGACACUAAUUACCCACAUCGAGUGAAAAUUCGUCUAGAAUACACCUUUUGAAAGUUCUGGACCCUUGUUUUCUGAUGUUUGUCCAUCAGGCAAGGUGUGACGUGACGUCCGAGGUCCAAAAAUAUAUGGACGGACACGAGGAAUGGAACGGAUAGACAAAAGAAGCUUGUAUAUGCUCGUCAAUGAUGCCCUCCAAUUCUUAUAGAUUCUUUUACGAAUCAAUAACGCACCAUGCCGAUCCUAUCUAUCAUAAACAAGGAAAAUGUAAAGUUAGGGUAGAACCGUGUUAAAAGUUUACAAAAUCUGAUAUUUAAAUAGAAGUUCCGUUAAUUGGGAUAAUGUGUGUUCCAAAUGUACAACUACAAGGUAAAAAGUGGUAUUCACUCUGUUUUAUUUUGUGAAUUUGAAUCACCCAUGGUGCUGUCCUUGUAUAAUAAGUUAAAAUUUUGAAUCUGAACCUGUUGAUUAGUACCACCUGUUAUCCUAAGCAAUGGUAUAUCCUGACUCAUGUAAGAAUAUUCGUUGUGUCGUUGAUCAUUGCAGAAAAAUGUCUACGCAUUGCUGUACUCGGGAGACUUACCCGGUGCCGCAAAAAAUGCGAUGAAGAAUGGUUUUGAAACGAAGAUAUCUAAACUAGUCGAUAUCAACUACCACAGGUUGGCAUCAUUCUUGUAUUGUAUUAUUUCUACCACAUUCAUUCAACCAUUGAAGCACGUUCUCCCUGCUUGUCUUCAAAACCUACGAAUGCUUAUGACUGGCUGUCUCAUCUGAAUGAGUAUAUCUCUGUGUCGUUGUUAACACUGGCUGGUAUUUUAGUUCAUUGUCAAUUUACUGGACUUGCCAGCUCAACUUUCUUUUACUGGACUUGCAGCUUUUCUGGUAAAAGCGAUGUGGAGAUUUUGACAAUCAGAGGAGCUAGGCCGGACGGCCGUGGUCUGUCCUGCGACUUCGUCGAUGUACACCAUGCAGAAUCAAUCCUCAGCAGUUACAAGACGUCUCAUGGUGCCGGAGGAAAUGCUGCUAGGGUUGAACCAAGUCCCAGAUGAAAUCUACUAGUCGGGAGCAUUUUUCAUCUUAGGUUCUGUGACUUGGUUCCCGUGGAGCAUGUGCCCGGAACGCAGUUCCCGUGGUGUCCACGGCUUGUGUGCAUUUUUUUAAGAGAGAGAGAGAGAGAGAGAGAGAGAGAGAGAGAGAGAGAGAGAGAGAGAGAGAGAGAGAGAGGAGAGAGG